UAGUAGGAAAAACUUUUGUAAAAAAGUCAGAGAAUCUUUUUGAGGAUCACUUAAAAUAUUAAUUUCUUAAGUAUUACUUUUAAACUUUUUUUUUUUUUUUCCCCAGAGCACUGCAAGAUCUCUUUUCCCCUCUUGUUUUGGGUUCUGUGCCUUAGACCACAGAGGCACAUCCUGCCCUCAGGGAGGUCAGAGGUUUGAAGUAUGAAGAGAUUUAACACGUUCCUCCAGUCUCCUGGGAUGCAAUAAAGCAGUGACCUUCUAUCA
Molecule: long non-coding RNA, 264 nt
Filed under: Cyanistes caeruleus (blue tit)
Lineage: Eukaryota; Metazoa; Chordata; Aves; Passeriformes; Paridae
Description: lncRNA (ENSCCEG00000022081.1)
Source: RNAcentral